UACGUUUUGUUAUUUCUGUGCAUAUUUUGGAUUGGUUGUUCUUGUAAAAAUAUCCCUUGUUAUUAUGAACCAAACAAUGAGCUAGAGUGUAUAGAGUUCAUCAAGUUCCCUGAGGAGCAGUAUGGGUGUAGCUAUACCAAUAAGUCGCUUGUCUUUAUUGGUUCUUCAAAACUUAUAGGAGAGGAACUUUGGAUACAAGUACAAAAAAACCAAGAAACGUUUUAUGUCAGAAGACAGGACGGAGCAUGCAAGGACAAGUGUUGUGAUACAUUUAAACGAGUUG
Mytilus trossulus (common blue mussel) is the source of this 283-nucleotide long non-coding RNA. RefSeq lists it as uncharacterized. The record is from RefSeq and is a predicted model, not a curated record. Lineage: Eukaryota; Metazoa; Mollusca; Bivalvia; Mytilida; Mytilidae. The transcript has 3 exons.